RNAcentral lists this ribosomal RNA (473 nucleotides) under uncultured Mycobacterium sp. Its description in RNAcentral is "bacterial SSU rRNA". It matches the Rfam family "Bacterial small subunit ribosomal RNA", at positions 574 to 1046 of the family's 1533-position model. Lineage: Bacteria; Bacillati; Actinomycetota; Actinomycetes; Mycobacteriales; Mycobacteriaceae. The record is from RNAcentral.
GGUGGUUUGUCGCGUUGUUCGUGAAAACUCACAGCUUAACUGUGGGCGUGCGGGCGAUACGGGCAGACUGGAGUACUGCAGGGGAGACUGGAAUUCCUGGUGUAGCGGUGGAAUGCGCAGAUAUCAGGAGGAACACCGGUGGCGAAGGCGGGUCUCUGGGCAGUAACUGACGCUGAGGAGCGAAAGCGUGGGGAGCGAACAGGAUUAGAUACCCUGGUAGUCCACGCCGUAAACGGUGGGUACUAGGUGUGGGUUUCCUUCCUUGGGAUCCGUGCCGUAGCUAACGCAUUAAGUACCCCGCCUGGGGAGUACGGCCGCAAGGCUAAAACUCAAAGGAAUUGACGGGGGCCCGCACAAGCGGCGGAGCAUGUGGAUUAAUUCGAUGCAACGCGAAGAACCUUACCUGGGUUUGACAUGCACAGGACGACUGCAGAGAUGUGGUUUCCCUUGUGGCCUGUGUGCAGGUGGUGCAU